Molecule: long non-coding RNA, 665 nt
Filed under: Triticum aestivum (bread wheat)
Lineage: Eukaryota; Viridiplantae; Streptophyta; Magnoliopsida; Poales; Poaceae
Description: long non-coding RNA (TAES_LNC009078)
Source: RNAcentral
UCAUUGUUACUACUACCUGAAACGAAAAUUCGAAAAUCGUUGUUACUUCUUCUCCGAAUCAGUACAUGGCUGGCUGCCCAAUACUGUGACCGCCUGACUGAUUUACGGCAAUGAUAAAUCCCGAACGUUCGGAUUUUAAGCAUGGCAACCCGAACGUUUUUUAUGGCAACUUUAAUUCACGUGAGGUUGGUAAACAUUGCAAUUUUCUGACAAAAAAAACGAACUGGAACAAAGUUGCCAUGUCUUAACAACUAAAAUUGCCACCUCGCGUCAACUAAAGUUGCCAUGUAAAAACGUUUGGGAUGAAAUGCUUAAAAUCCAAACGUUCGGAUUUUAUCGGGUCCCUGAUUUAACAUCUGAAUCUAGUGUCUUUAACUGACACUGUACAUGGCAAUCGAAAUUGGCAAUCUGAAUCAAAUUAACAUGGCAAUGAAAAUCUACCUUGCUUGCUCCUUCGGCGCCUCCUCCUUUGGUUGUAUCGGUCGAGAAGAGAAAGGGGCAGCAGCAAGCAAAGCGAAAAGAGAUGGGGCGGCAGCAGGCAGCAGGCAGCGGCGGUGGCGUCCAGAUUGGAUGCAGCAGCGAGCAGCCGGCAGGCGGGCGGCGGCGGUUGGUAGACGGUGCGCGGCGGGCGGCGGUGGAUGCCUCGAUGUAUCGAGAGAGAAGGG